Molecule: ribosomal RNA, 491 nt
Filed under: Piceacecis abietiperda
Lineage: Eukaryota; Metazoa; Arthropoda; Insecta; Diptera; Cecidomyiidae
Description: partial large subunit ribosomal RNA
Rfam family: Bacterial large subunit ribosomal RNA (bases 321-480)
Source: RNAcentral
UUUUGACUGUGCUAAGGUAGCAUAAUCAUUAGAUAUUUAAUUGAUAUCUUGUUUGAAUGGUUACAUGAAAUAAAUUCUUUUUUAUUUUUAUUUUAAAAACUUUAUUUUUUAGUUAAAAAGCUAAAAUUUUAAAAAGGGACGAGAAGACCCUAUAGAAUUUUAUAAUAUAUUAUUUAUUUUUAUUUAUUAUUUUAUAAUAUAUAUGUAUAAUAUUAUUUUAUUGGGGUGAUAAUUAAAUUUAUUUAACUUUUAAAUCAUGUUUCAUUUAUAUUUGUAAAUUUGAUCUUUUUUUAUUGAUUAAAAAAAUAAAUUACCUUAGGGAUAACAGCAUAAUAUUAUUAAAAAGUUCAUAUUUUUAAUAUUGUUUAUGACCUCGAUGUUGGAUUAAAUAAAAUUAUUAUAUGAAGAAAUAUAAAAAAUUAGUCUGUUCGACUAUUAAUUAUUUACAUGAUCUGAGUUCAAACCGGUGUGAUCCAGGUCGGUUUCUAUCU